Molecule: long non-coding RNA, 1177 nt
Organism: Hippocampus comes (tiger tail seahorse)
Lineage: Eukaryota; Metazoa; Chordata; Actinopteri; Syngnathiformes; Syngnathidae
Exons: 3
Source: RefSeq, a predicted model, not a curated record
CUUCAGCCUGUGGCAGCAGAAGUGGAGCAGCAUGUGGACCUAAGACAAAAACGCCAUUGGUGAGUUCAAAGUCACCUUCUUGUGCAGCAAAUGUAAUGUGAUAAAACCAACCAGCAGAGGGUGAUGAGACGUCGGUGUUCUGGGACUCGGACCAAGUGCUCGCACAGCUGCAUGAGCAGGACAAUCACAGUUUGGCUCAGCACCUGGAAACAAACAAUAUUGGAUCAAAGACGGCAUUGAGAAGGCUGGAGUUUCGAGCAUUCAACGCUUACUGCAGACUGAGGAACUUGUUCAAGCCGAUGGGAUCAAGCCAAGUGUUGGACGACAGUCACUGCCUGGUGAAGUGGACCUAAGAAAAAAGGACAGAGUUACAGUGCAUUUCUGGUGCAGCAAAUUUGAGACACGAUGACUCCCAGCGAGGAAGAGCACCUGUGAGGUCUUCUGCAGGAAUCGUAGCUUGUUGGCGGACUGCUCCAACGUUUGCUUCAGCCUCUCCUGGAUGGCAUCCUCCAGCUGACGAAACAGAAGCAAGGUACAGAGUUGCAUGUCACAUCGCAGACCGGGGGGAGAAAAGACCCAGGCGGACAGUUUCCUUAGGCAGCGUGACAUCACUUCUGGAAAACAGCAAGACACGAGUCACAACAUUCACUCGGCAUGGAUUCUGUUGGAGAUGAAACCCACUGCCACCAGCGCCAACUUCUCCAAUUCCUCUUCUCCCAAAGUCUGCCACCUUCCGGCCAAAAAAAAAAAAAAAAAUGCAACCGCUUCAGAGGGCUCCACAGUGGACAAGCCUAAACACAAACAGGAGGUAAGCAAUGGACCACCCAAGCUUUCAAUUGGACUUUGAUUUAUUGAAUGUGCGUCAAGAUUUCAGUUGCAAUGUAGAAAUUUUCUCUGCCCGGCGUCUUGGUGGUCAGGGUGCAGAGUCCACCAUGGCACUUUAACUGGAAGCCUCUCUGCAGUCAAAAAAAAAAAAAAAAAAUGUUUUAAAGCUUGUCAGCAUUUUGGGUCAUCUUAAAGAACGUUGAUAAUGACGCAACGUUUCCUCCACCACCUACAACAACAACCAGUCAGCAGCAUCAGUGGAUAAAAAGAUCUAAGGUACUUUUUGGGCCCGUCCACGCCAAGUUCUGGGGGGGGGGCAAGAGAUGUUUUGUCGCCACCUGUUGGCUAGAAG